Molecule: ribosomal RNA, 534 nt
Filed under: Candidozyma auris
Lineage: Eukaryota; Fungi; Ascomycota; Pichiomycetes; Serinales; Metschnikowiaceae
Description: [Candida] auris partial 26S ribosomal RNA
Rfam family: Eukaryotic large subunit ribosomal RNA
Source: RNAcentral
CGGAGGAAAAGAAACCAACAGGGAUUGCCUCAGUAACGGCGAGUGAAGCGGCAAGAGCUCAACUUUGGAAUCGCUCCGGCGAGUUGUAGUCUGGAGGUGGCCACCACGAGGUGUUCUAGCAGCAGGCAAGUCCUUUGGAACAAGGCGCCAGCGAGGGUGACAGCCCCGUACCUGCUUUUGCUAGUGCUUCCUGUGGCCCACCGACGAGUCGAGUUGUUUGGGAAUGCAGCUCUAAGUGGGUGGUAAAUUCCAUCUAAGGCUAAAUAUUGGCGAGAGACCGAUAGCGAACAAGUACAGUGAUGGAAAGAUGAAAAGCACUUUGAAAAGAGAGUGAAACAGUACGUGAAAUUGUUGAAAGGGAAGGGCUUGCACCCAGACACGGUUUCGGCCGGGCCAGCAUCAAGUAGAACGGGGUUAAAAGACCUGGGGAAUGUAGCUACCUCUUGGUAGUGUUAUAGCCCUUGGGUGAUGACCCCUGUUUUGCUUGAGGACAGCGGUCUCUAGGAUGCUGGCGCAAUGGUUGCAAGCCACCCG